AUACGGAGGGUGCAAGCGUUGUUCGGAAUCACUGGGCGUAAAGGGCGCGCAGGCGGUUUGGUAAGUCAGAUGUGAAAGCCCACGGCUCAACCGUGGAAGUGCAUUUGAAACUGUCAGACUUGAGUACUAGAGGGGAAAGUGGAAUUCCCGGUGUAGAGGUGAAAUUCGUAGAUAUCGGGAGGAAUACCGGUGGCGAAGGCGACUUUCUGGCUAGAUACUGACGCUGAGGCGCGAAAGCGUGGGGAGCAAACAGGAUUAGAAACCCCGGUAGUCC
RNAcentral lists this ribosomal RNA (274 nucleotides) under uncultured bacterium. RNAcentral describes it as "partial 16S ribosomal RNA". It matches the Rfam family "Bacterial small subunit ribosomal RNA", at positions 523 to 796 of the family's 1533-position model. The record is from RNAcentral.